CCUACGGGGGACUGCAGUGAGGAAUAUUGGUCAAUGGACGAGAGUCUGAACCAGCAAAGUAGCGUGAAGGAUGACUGCCCUAUGGGUUGUAAACUUCUUUUAUAAAGGAAUAAAACGAGGCACGUGUGCCUUUUUGCAUGUACUUUAUGAAUAAGGAUCGGCUAACUCCGUGCCAGCCGCCGCGGUAAUACGGAGGAUCCGAGCGUUAUCCGGAUUUAUUGGGUUUAAAGGGAGCGUAGAUGGGUUGUUAAGUCAGUUGUGAAAGUUUGCGGCUCAACCGUACAAUUGCAAUUGAUACUGGCAGUCUUGAGUACAGUUGAGGUAGGCGGAAUUCGUGGUGUAGCGGUGAAAUGCUUAGAUAUCACGAAGAACCCCGAUUGCGAAGGCAGCUUACUAAACUGUGACUGACAUUGAUGCUCGAAAGUGUGGGUAUCAAACAGGAUUAGAUACCCUUGUAGUC
Molecule: ribosomal RNA, 460 nt
Filed under: uncultured bacterium
Lineage: Bacteria
Description: partial 16S ribosomal RNA
Rfam family: Bacterial small subunit ribosomal RNA
Source: RNAcentral